RNAcentral lists this long non-coding RNA (1090 nucleotides) under Capsicum annuum. Its description in RNAcentral is "long non-coding RNA (CANN_LNC020131)". The record is from RNAcentral. Lineage: Eukaryota; Viridiplantae; Streptophyta; Magnoliopsida; Solanales; Solanaceae.
ACAUGGAUAGUAGGUUUCACGCAAGGAUAGUUCUAGUCAUCGUAGAAUCCAACUUAGAUGGUGGCAUAAGAGGAAACUUAAUGAGAUCUCAGAGCACUGAGAAUAAGUAAAUAAUAGAAAUUAAGAUUUGCAGUAAUUGCUUAGGUUUAGCUUGAUAUGAAGGCAUUUCUGACAAAUUUAAGUACUGAACAUCAAAAUAAUGUAGUUACUGAUCAACAUCAAAUUUAAAGUAAGUACUGAACAUCAAAGCAAUGUAAGUAAGCACUGAGAAUAAGUAAAUAAUAGAAAUUAAGAUUUGCAGUAAUUGCUUAGGUUUAGCUUGAUAUGAAGGCAUUUCUGACAAAUUUAAGUACUGAACAUCAAAAUAAUGUAGUUACUGAUCAACAUCAAAUUUAAAGUAAGUACUGAACAUCAAAGCAAUGUAAGUAGUGAACAUCAAACUAAUGCACGUACUGAACAUCAAACUAAAGAGGUACUGAACAAUAAACUAAUGCAGGUACCGAACAUCAAACUAAUGUAAGUGUUGAACAUCAAAUUAAAGUAGGUGAUAAACAUCAUGUUGGGUAAACCCGAAAUAACACAAAAGUAUUUAUGGCAAAAUAAUAGGGAAAAAUAUAAAAAAGACAAUGACACCAAGAUAUUUACGUGGAAACCCUCCUAAAUAAGGGAAAAAACUACGGACCAAGAGGUGCAACUAAUAUUACUAUAGUAAGGAAUUUUUACACCGUAGUCACAAAUAUAAUACUCAACAAUGAAUACCAUACACUCAAAAGAAAUAACCCUCUUUUGACUCCUACCUUACUAAAAAUAUUGCUCACUCUAAUUUUUCCUUCAUAGACUAUUUUUAUCACAGUCUAUGAAACACUCAAUGCUCUCUAUAUAUGUUUUUCUCUCUUUGUUGGUGUGUUUUACAAAGAGCUGAUAUGCUCCUUUUAUAGGCAGAAAACUUUGUCUGUUACAUAUGCAGUGAUUUCAUUUCCCAUUUUCCAAUUUUAAUAAUGGCAACUUGCCAGCAACUUUGAACAAACUUUUCAAUACUUUUGAAAAAGUUGAUGGGGUUGGACCCCACAAAUCUCCCCCUCAAGNNNNN